GGUAAACACAGCGGGCGUUUGCAAACCCUCCCCCUCCAGUGUUUAAAUGUCAACUCCCCCCUCCGACACACACUCAAUCUAGCCUUUCGUUCCCCUUUCCUGAGCAAGAACAAAGCAAAACUAAGGUAAAGGGGACAGAAUCGUUGCAAAGGAGGCCGUUCGGCCCGUCGCGCUUGUCCCCGCUCUCCGGAGGAGUCUCGGUGACCUGGCCGGGUGCUGUCUUUCUUGCCUUUAUCCCGGCUGCUCGUUGCUAGGGAAGCGGCGUGAAAGAAAGAAAGGGGAGAAUCCGGGUAGGGAAAGCCCGAAUGGUGAGGACGUGAAGGGAAGAAUAAGAGUGGAGGAAGGGAAAGAGGGGAUCGAUCUUUUAAUUCCUGGAGGUCCCAGUGCAAUCCUGGAAGGUUAGCGAAAUUGGACUUCUUUCUUCUCCAUUGGUGGGGUUAAGGCGCCCACUGGGACUGAAGCAGUAGGCUAAUGGUAAAGUUAUCAUUUCUAUGUCAGGGGCAGGAAGUGUGGACCCAGCUGCUGCUACUGGGGUCUGGGCGCCAUAUAUUGGUCCGUGUUGCAUCCUCAUGAAAGGCUUAUUCCCAAAAUAUUGACUCUCCUACUCAUCGGAUGCUGCCUGACCCGCUGUGUUUUUCCAGUGCCACACAUUUUGACUCAUUGUUGUAUCCCACUGGCAAGCCAGUUUCGGAACCUGACUCCACCACAAUGAAGAAACAGAAACCAUAAGAACGCGUUGUGACAUAUAAUAUUUAAACUAUCUACAUUUUCGGGGUAUCGGUUGGCUGUAAAAUGAACAGAACUGGCCACAUAAAUUCCACGGCUACAAAACAAGUCAGAGACUGAGAAUUUGGCCACAACUCACUUGCUAACUUCCCAAGUCCUUAUCACCAUCUACAAUGGAUGAGUCAAGAGUCUGAUAGAAUACUCUGCAAUUGGUGGAUGAGUUCAGCUCCAAAAAAAAUCAAGAAGCUUGAAAACAAAGUAAUCCACUUGACUGGCACUCACCCACCACCUUAAACAUUCACUUUACCAUUGACAUAAAUCGCACAGUGUAUACCAUUUACAAGAUGCACUGCUGUAGGUUAACAAGACUGCUUCAACAACCUGGCCAAACACAUACUUGGAAAGACAAGUGCAGCAUAUGCAACAGGAGCAUCACUACCUGCAAGUUCUCCUCAACAAAGAAAAUAGGAACAAGAGUAAGCCAUUUGGCUCUUCAGACCUGUCCAGGUGUUCAAUAUUAUCAUGGUUGAUCAUCCAGUUCAAUACUCUGAUCCCAUUUACGUCCUAUACCUUUUAAUCCAUUUAGCUCUGAAAAGUACAUCUAUCUCUUUGACAACAUUCAAUAUUUUGACCUCAACUGCUUUUUGUGGCAGAGAAUAACGCAGGUUCACCACAGUCUGGAUGAAGAAAUUUCUCCUCAUCUAACUCUUAAAUGGCCUACUGUUGGACUGUGAUCCUCUGGUUCUGGACUGUAAAGACAUUUGGAAUAUCCUUCCUGCUUUUACCCUGUCUAGUCCUGUUAGAUUUAUGAAGAUUUCUAUGAGAUCACCACUCAUUUUUCUCAACAUUGGUGAACUUGGUCCUAACAAAUCCAGCCUCCCUUCAUACAUCAGUCCUGUCAUUUCAGGAAUCAUUCUGGUCAACCUCCAUAGCCAGACAAGGAGAUCAAAGCGACACCCAAUACCUCCGGUGUAAUCUCAUCAAAGCCCUGCACAGGUAGUUCUAUAAUGCGGUGGUUUCUUCAUCCAGACUGUGGUGAAACUGUGGUAUUCUGUGUGAGUCUGUGUUGUAGAAAAUCACACAAUAGAAUUAAUGGGCCCUAUGGGAAAAACAUGGUUAGGAGUGAACCACCAAAAAUAUCAGUAAAAAUUGAAACAAAAAUAGUAGUUAGCCUAACACAAACGAUAGCGCAAUCUAAGUUAAAAUUUUAAAUCAUAUAUACAGUGAAAUAUAACACUUUAAGAGGUUUCUGAAUUAAAUAAUACCCCAUCUGAAA
Long non-coding RNA from Hemiscyllium ocellatum (epaulette shark), 2002 nucleotides. RefSeq lists it as uncharacterized. The record is from RefSeq and is a predicted model, not a curated record. The transcript has 2 exons. Lineage: Eukaryota; Metazoa; Chordata; Chondrichthyes; Orectolobiformes; Hemiscylliidae.